UUUUUUUUUUUUUUUUUUUGCCAUUUCUUCAGCUGCUCCCGCAGCAUAUGGAAGUUCCCAGGCUAGGGGUCUAAUCGGAGCUGUAGCUGCCAGCCUACACCAGAGCCAGAGCAACACAUCAUCCGAGCCACGUCUGAGACCUACACCACAGCUCAUGGCAACACCGGAUCGUUAACCCACUGAGCAAGGCCAGGGAUCGAACCCGCAACCUCAUGGUUCCUAGUUGGAUUCGUUAACCUCUGCGCCACAAUGGGAACUCCAGACAGCUCAUUUUAAAAACAGAGGAUUUGCCUCUGUCAGGCUCGAGACUGGACCAGAGUUUUCUCUUAGGUGGAUGCUGGGAUUUAAUAUCCACGCAUGAAGCAAAGUCAUGUACAAGCCAAGAACCCUUGAAAGUUCCUUAAAUCACCCAUGGAUCAGAGUGUUUGGGAAGACAGCCUCAUACCUGAUCCUGCACUGGCAAGUCUGAACCUCUGAGUGAGAGGCGAAGGGGGAGAGGGAGGGGGAGUGGAGGGGGGAGGGCCAGUGGGUCUGCCUCACAGGUGCUGGGGUCCGACAGGAAACUACACCCCAGCAGUGAUGGCGCUAGAGAGAGGGCAGAGCUUUCCAGGUGAUCCUGGCCUCAGAACUGUCCCUCACAUCUGCUCGCAGCUGGCUCCUGGCCGUGAGGAGCACGAGACAGAACACAGGUGGAGCCCCCGCCCAGGCCUGGGCACACAAAGGUGCCCAAGAUGUUUCCUAACCUGCAGCCCACCUCGCUGGACCAGGCCCACAUCUUAUGUUCUCAGUGGCGCGUCUUCUCACCUUCCUGGUGCCACUCCCUCACCGGCCCAGUUGCCCCGCAGCUCUCACACCUCCUCCGGCAGGGAACUCUGUAGCGUCCAGCGUUGAGGAGGAGAGAGGACUGCUGGCCACUGAAGGCUGCCAGGCCAGCUGACGAGUGGAUGGAGGGCUGUCUAGACGUCUGGGCCUGCCGGCUGCUCCAUCCAAAGCCAGGUGGGGGCCUUGUGGAGACUGAGCUUCAGGCCACCCUCCUGCAGCAAUGCCUUCCUCCUGUGGGUGGUUCUCGGCUCCAGAUGGCUAGGCGGAGGGGCUGCUGACCUCAUGCUACCCUUGUGUUUCUCCCCUUUGCCCCCCAGGCAGGAGGCCCAGGAUAGCUCCACUCCCUAAGUGCCACAGAAAUUCUGAGAACAGAUCUGACCAUCACGCCAAUUUGCUGAUGGCCAGGAUAAACAGACCCCCCCACACAUACACACACAGCCUCCCUUGUAGAAGCACCUGAAUUUGCAGCUCUCCAUUUCCAGGGAGGUGGUGGGGCAGAGUGGGAAGCAGCUGAGAGCAGCAGGUGUCCAUUCUGCCUCUUCUGCACCCUCACUGAGGGACCCCGGGAGCCCUGUGUGCCCCCCUGGGCCAAGUUUUCUUGUCCAAAGAUGAAGCCCCAAGGAUGGCCACAUGGCGGUUAGGAAAAAUCAAAUGACAGCUCCCUCCUGUGAUUUGCUCUGUGCAUAUCUGUGCAGCGCCUGCUCUGUGCCAGGAGCUGUGGCAGGUGCUGGGGACACAGUGAGCUAGGGAGGAAGUGGCCCCACUUGUGACCAGAGCUGAAGACCAGCCCCAAGGCCGUCUGACUCUACGCGUCACUGCUGCUUUCUACAAAAGCAGCUGACAGAAAAAAAUCAACUGAUAAUUAAAUACAAUGUCAUCUAUUUUUUUAACACCUAGAGAUGUCUCCUCUAAGGAAGUGCAGAAACAGCUGAACUGCAACAAUUACACACCAGUAUCCCAGCAGCUCUCAGUCAGCGUAACUCACCUACCAUUC
Molecule: long non-coding RNA, 1816 nt
Filed under: Sus scrofa (pig)
Lineage: Eukaryota; Metazoa; Chordata; Mammalia; Artiodactyla; Suidae
Description: lncRNA (ENSSSCG00055019266.1)
Source: RNAcentral